RNAcentral lists this ribosomal RNA (203 nucleotides) under uncultured bacterium. RNAcentral's name for it is "partial 16S ribosomal RNA". It matches the Rfam family "Bacterial small subunit ribosomal RNA", at positions 1299 to 1500 of the family's 1533-position model. The record is from RNAcentral.
CGCAGGCUGCAACCCGCCUGCGUGAAGUUGGAAUCGCUAGUAAUCGCGGAUCAGCAUGCCGCGGUGAAUACGUUCCCGGGCCUUGUACACACCGCCCGUCACACCAUGAGAGUCGGGAACACCCGAAGUCCGUAGCCUAACCGCAAGGGGGGGCGCGGCCGAAGGUGGGUUCGAUAAUUGGGGUGAAGUCGUAACAAGGUAGC